RNAcentral lists this small nucleolar RNA (107 nucleotides) under Theobroma cacao (cacao). Its description in RNAcentral is "Plant small nucleolar RNA R71". It matches the Rfam family "Plant small nucleolar RNA R71". From Rfam's summary of the family: R71 is a member of the C/D box family of snoRNAs containing the C (UGAUGA) and D (CUGA) box motifs. Multiple nearly identical copies of this snoRNA have been identified in Arabidopsis, and it is thought to function as a 2'-O-ribose methylation guide for 18S ribosomal RNA. Lineage: Eukaryota; Viridiplantae; Streptophyta; Magnoliopsida; Malvales; Malvaceae. The record is from Rfam by way of RNAcentral.
AAACCACGAUGAGGACAACGUCGAAGUAAUUCUUUGUAUCUUUUCCAAGCCUCAUACAAUGAUUUAGAAUCUUAUUACAUGAAUGAUGUGAUAUCAUUCCUCAUUUU